This is a non-coding RNA of Zootermopsis nevadensis, 457 nucleotides long. NCBI's taxonomy places the organism in Eukaryota, Metazoa, Arthropoda, Insecta, Blattodea, Termopsidae. The record is from RefSeq and is a predicted model, not a curated record.
GCUGUGAUUUAGCUCAUCGCUGCAUUGGUAACACUGACUGUAGUGGUACACAGUGAUGCUACUGCGAAUAUGAUUGGCUGUCUGUUGCUGCUCUGUUUACGUAUGAUUACAGUACGGCUGAUGUUAUGAAUACUAAAAUUACAGAAAUUAACAUGUCGAAAAUUCAGAAUGUUGCGUCAAUAUCAACCUGCAAGUGAUCCACAGUUCCUUCAAUUCCUUCUCUGUCUGCUUCAAAAGCUCCUGUGCAUCAUCCAGUUUGCGCUGAUACAACAAAUAAAUAAAACUUGUCAUAUAUCUGAGUCAGCAAAGCACACUCUCAAUGAGAGAUUCAAAAGUUCAAUGACACUGAAACCUAAGUGCAAUCACUGAAAUUAUUCUUUUGUAAGAGGCUGUAACUGUGCUUGUGGCUUCUUUUGUUUAGUGUUCACUUUUAUCAGUUCUUGCUACAUGUUCACUG